GUACACUCCUGCGGGAGGCAGCAGUGGGGAAUAUUGCACAAUGGGCGCAAGCCUGAUGCAGCGACGCCGCGUGGGGGAUGAAGGCCUUCGGGUUGUAAACUCCUUUCGCUAGGGACGAAGCUUUUUUGUGACGGUACCUAGAUAAGAAGCACCGGCUAACUACGUGCCAGCAGCCGCGGUAAUACGUAGGGUGCGAGCGUUGUCCGGAAUUACUGGGCGUAAAGGGCUCGUAGGUGGUUUGUCGCGUCGUCUGUGAAAUUCUGGGGCUUAACUCCGGGCGUGCAGGCGAUACGGGCAUAACUUGAGUGCUGUAGGGGUAACUGGAAUUCCUGGUGUAGCGGUGAAAUGCGCAGAUAUCAGGAGGAACACCGAUGGCGAAGGCAGGUUACUGGGCAGUUACUGACGCUGAGGAGCGAAAGCAUGGGUAGCGAACAGGAUUAGAAACCCCUGUAGUCCCAUGA
RNAcentral lists this ribosomal RNA (461 nucleotides) under uncultured organism. RNAcentral's name for it is "partial 16S ribosomal RNA". It matches the Rfam family "Bacterial small subunit ribosomal RNA", at positions 331 to 800 of the family's 1533-position model. The record is from RNAcentral.